AUGAAAAAAGAAUUUGGAGGUCUAGGCAUUCCCAACCUCCAAGAGGUGAACACCUGCCUCCUAGGAUCCUGGGUUAAGAGAUUCUAUGAAGAAGGAGAAAAACCUUGGCAAGCUAUCAUAGAACAAAAAUAUUUGUCUGGAAAGCCUAACUUGUUUGCGGUCCACUCCAUCCCAAACUCUUCAAGAUUCUGGAAGGGAUUUCAAUCCAUCAUUCAAAAUCUGAAGUUUGGAUUUAGAUGGAAAGUUGGCAAUGGGGAGAGGGUCAGAUUUUGGGAAGACACCUGGUUCGGGACUUCGCCACUAGCUACCCAAUUCUAGCCUGUCUACCUGGUCUGUAAUGAGCAGACUAAAACUAUCAAAGAAGUCUGGGAUGGGGAAACCCUAAAAUUAACUUUCAGAAGGAACUUUGAUAGCAAACUCAUGGAACUAUGGUACCAGCUAGUCGAGGUCGCUGGGAGCAUUGCUCUCUGUGAGGAUUUUGAUUCACUGAUAUGUCAUCUUCAGAGUAAAGGGGUUUACUCUUCGAGCUCUCUAUACCAUGUGAUAAACUUUAGAGGGGUGCAACCAGUUUUCAUCCCAGCGGUGUGGAAACUUAGUGUGCCACCCAAAAUUCAUGUCUUCUUAUGGCUUUUCUCAUGUAACAAACUAAUGACCAGCGACAACCAGAGGAAAAGACAUAUUAUUAAACCCCUUGACUGUGUUUUGUGCUUUGAGCAUGAAACCAUCUCUCACCUGUUCUUUGAGUGUGUUGUAGCAAAAUAUGCCUGGUCGUUUAUAAUUGACCACUUCAGGGUCCAGACAGGGACUGAUUUUGAAUCGGUAGCCAGAUUCUGGAUCUCUAACAAGAAGAACUCGGCUUUAAAUAUAGUUUCUUCAGCAGUCAGUCAUGUGGUGUUUGUGGAAGUAUAG
Molecule: ribosomal RNA, 909 nt
Filed under: Triticum aestivum (bread wheat)
Lineage: Eukaryota; Viridiplantae; Streptophyta; Magnoliopsida; Poales; Poaceae
Description: partial small subunit ribosomal RNA
Source: RNAcentral